GCAGGCGUGAGGGAACGGCAUACCUAGCGAGCUCAAACCUCGCUGCUUACUGGUUCGAAUCCAGUCGCCUGUA
Molecule: transfer RNA, 73 nt
Filed under: Candidatus Zixiibacteriota bacterium
Lineage: Bacteria; Pseudomonadati; Candidatus Zixiibacteriota
Description: tRNA-Leu
Rfam family: tRNA
About the family: Transfer RNA (tRNA) molecules are approximately 80 nucleotides in length. Their secondary structure includes four short double-helical elements and three loops (D, anti-codon, and T loops).
Source: RNAcentral